CAUGCAAGUCGAACGAGGAUAUAUCCUUCGGGAUAUAAGCCGAGUGGCGCAAGGGUGAGUAAUGCAUAGAUUACCUACCUCUAGGAUAAGGACAACUUUGUGAAAACGAAGCUAAUACUUAAUAACACAAGAGAAAAUAAUUUUCUUUUGUCAAUGGGAGGGUAGCAAUACCUUUUGCCUAGAGAGGGGUUUAUGUCCUAUCAGCUUGUUGGUGGGGUAAUGGCCUACCAAGGCGAAGACGGGUAGCCGGUCUUAGAGGAUGGUCGGCCACACUGGGACUGAGACACUGCCCAGACUUCUACGGAAGGUUGCAGUCGAGAAUCUUUCGCAAUGCCCGAAAGGGUGACGAAGCGACGCCGCGUGAGUGAGGAAGGCCUUCGGGUUGUAAAGCUCUGUCAGGAGUUAAGAAAUGUAAGUGUGCUAAUACCACAUUUACUUGACGAAGGCUCCAAAGGAAGCCACGGCUAACUCUGUGCCAGCAGCCGCGGUAAUACAGAGGUGGCAAGCGUUGUUCGGAAUUAUUGGGCGUAAAGAGCACGUAGGUGGGUUUGUAAGUCAGAUGUGAAAGCCUUCUGUUCAACGGAAGAAUUGCAUCUGAAACUGCAAGUCUUGAGUGUAGGAGGGGGGAAUGGAACUUCUGGUGGAGCGGUGAAAUGCGUAGAUAUCAGAAGGAACGCCGGCGGCGAAAGCGAUUCUCUGGCCUAUUACUGACACUCAGUGUGCGAAAGCUAGGGGAGCAAACGGGAUUAGAUACCCCGGUAGUCCUAGCCGUAAACGAUGGGCACUAAGUAGAGGGAAUUACCGAUGUUCUCUCUGCCGUAGCUAACGCAUUAAGUGCCCCGCCUGGGGAGUACGGCCGCAAGGCUAAAACUCAAAAGAAUUGACGGGGGCCCGCACAAGCGGUGGAGCAUGUGGCUUAAUUCGAUGCAACGCGAAAAACCUUACCGGGGCUUGACAUGGUAGAAGUAGGAACCCGAAAGGGUAACGAACGGUAUCCAGUCCGUAGCUAUCACAGGUGUUGCAUGGCUGUCGUCAGCUCGUGUCGUGAGACGUUGGGUUAAGUCCCCUAACGAGCGAAACCUUGUUUUUAGUUACCAGCGGGUUAUGCCGGGUACUCUAGAAAGACUGCCGUCGUCAAGACGGAGGAAGGUGGGGAUGACGUCAAGUCAUCAUGGCCCUUAUGCCCCGGGCUGCACACGUGCUACAAUGGUCGGUACAAACGGAAGCGAAGCCGAGAGGUGGAGCGAAUCCUAAAAAGCCGAUCUCAGUUCGGAUUGGAGGCUGAAAUUCGCCUCUAUGAAGCUGGAAUCGCUAGUAAUCGCGGAUCAGCAUUGCCGCGGUGAAUAUGUUCCCGAGCCUUGUACACACCGCCCGUCAAGCCACCCAAGCAGGAUGCACCCGAAAACAUUAUAUCUAACCAGGUUUGCCUGGAGGAAAGUGUUGAAGGAGUGUUUUGUGAGGAGGACUAAGUCGUAACAAGGUAGUCGUAGGAGAACCUGCGGCUGGAUCACCUCCUUUCU
This 1520-nucleotide ribosomal RNA is filed under the name uncultured Planctomycetales bacterium. RNAcentral's name for it is "16S ribosomal RNA". It matches the Rfam family "Bacterial small subunit ribosomal RNA". Lineage: Bacteria; Pseudomonadati; Planctomycetota; Planctomycetia; Planctomycetales. The record is from RNAcentral.